UACAGAGGUCCCGAGCGUUGUUCGGAUUCAUUGGGCGUAAAGGGUGCGUAGGCGGCUUUCUAAGUUUGAUGUGAAAUCCUGGGGCUCAACCCUGGAACUGCAUUGAAUACUGGGAGGCUAGAGAACUGGAGAGGAGACUGGAAUUUACGGUGUAGCAGUGAAAUGCGUAGAGAUCGUAAGGAAGACCAGUGGCGAAGGCGAGUCUCUGGACAGUUACUGACGCUGAGGCACGAAGGCCCAGGGGAGCAAACGGG
RNAcentral lists this ribosomal RNA (254 nucleotides) under uncultured bacterium. RNAcentral's name for it is "partial 16S ribosomal RNA". It matches the Rfam family "Bacterial small subunit ribosomal RNA", at positions 524 to 776 of the family's 1533-position model. The record is from RNAcentral.